UUUGCUGUACUUAUUGUCCUUCCCAUCUCUUUUCUCUGUUUUCCCUUAUAAUCGCCCUUCCCUUUUUCGGUGAUCUAUCUAUAUCUCUUCAUCAUCACCCCCUUUGUUUAUCUCUGGUUUCUUCUACCCUUCACCUUGGAAAUAUAAAACGAGCAGUAAUCUUGUUGCUACAGUGGAACAUACUUCCCUUGGUCUCCUCCUCUUCCUUCAAUUCCACUCAGAGCUUGGUUUCAAGACUGGAACAUUAAGUUUGGCAGCAGGGCAUUCCAAUUUAAGCGAAUGGCUACGCAUGCUACAGACAAUCACUAUACAGUCGUUGAUAAGAAGAAAGGGCGAGUUAGGUGCAAUUAUUGUGGAAAGGAAGUAAGUGGUUCUACUCGUCUUAAGCAACACUUGGGUGGAAUACCUCCUGAUGUGUUACCUUGUCUUAAAGUUCCAGAGGAUGUGAAGGUACAAAUGAAAAACAACCUAAUGGGAAGAACAAAAGCAGAUGGUAACACCGAAUUUCAUAAAUCGUUCAAAUCGUGUUCUGUACGGAAGAGGAAGUCCAGCUCCGACGGCCCCUGUAAAGACAACCAUGUUUCCAGUCAACCCGCCAGUUUGUCAAGGAAGAGAAAGCACCACAUUACAACUGAGUCUGGAUUAAAGGACAACGAUGAGAUGGCACAGAGCUUGAUUAAUCCCGAACAAUUGAAUGCAAACACCGCAGGGGAGAUUGAAAAACAAGCUGAAGAUAAGUCAUCCAGACAAAUCCAAAGGUGUAUAGGCAGAUUCUUUUUCGAAAAUGGUAUAGACUUUAAUGCUGUGAACUCACCUACUUUCCAGAAAAUGAUGCAUGCUUUUGCUGGACAUGGAUCCACGUUGUAUAAGGUGCCUAGUUGUAAUGAUCUAAAGGGGUGGAUUCUGCAGGAAGAACUGAAGGCAUCACAAGAGUAUGUGCGAGGAGUUGUGCACUCAUGGGGAACCACUGGAUGUAGUAUUUUGUUGGAUGGGUGGAUCGAUGGGAAAGGGAGAAAUUUGAUUAAUUUUGUGGUUGAUAGCCCACGGGGUCCUGUAUUUAUGAAGUCUGCCGAUGUGACAGAUAUCAUAGGAGAUGUGGUUGCCAUGAUCACAUUGUUAAGUGGGGUUAUUGAGGAGGUUGGGGUACAGAAUGUUGUUCAAAUUGUCUCAUAUACUACUCUUGGUUCACUGAGCGCAGUGGGCAAUAAGUUGACAGAGAAAUACGGGACUAUAUCUUGGACUAUUUGUGCGGCUCACUGCAUAGGCCUCAUCUUGGAGAAGAUAGGAAUGCUGGAUCCUUGGAGAGGUGUACUUGAUAAGGCAAAGGAUAUUACUAAGCUCAUUUACACACAUGAGACAGUUUUGAAGCUUAUGACGAAACACACUUCUGGGGUCGAGCUACUCAGUUCCAGGAGGAUUAGGUCACUGACGCCAUUUCUAAUACUGGAGAGAAUUGAGUCUCAAAAGAAUAAUUUGAAGAUCAUGUUUAGUUCGUUAGAAUGGAAGAGCUCAGCCUUAGCUUCAACAGCUGAUGGAGUGCAUGUGACUGAUUUAGUCACUGGAGUGUCGUCUUUCUGGACUGAAGCCCAGAUGCUUUUGAAGGGAAGUCUUCCACUCAUACGUGCUCUGCAUCUAAUCAGUGGAGGAGAUAGUAAACCCCAGUUGGGAUACAUAUAUGAAACGAUGGACCAAGUAAAAGAGACAAUAAAAGAUGAGUAUGAAGACGAGAAAACUAAAUAUCAGCCUUUCUGGACAGCAAUUGAUGGGAUCUGGAAUAACCAACUCCAUAGCCCUAUCCAUUCUGCUGCCUGCAUUUUGAAUCCGAGCCUUCUUUACUCAUCUGAGGACGUUGACGAUGAUAAUGAGAUCAAGGAUGGGCUUUCGCGCUGCAUUCAGGGAAUGGUAAAGGAGAAGCGUGCUCGAGAUUUAAUAUUAUUACAGUUGAAUGACUAUUUAGAGGCUAGUGGUGCUUUUGGCGAGGGGGUUGCUAUUGAUCAAAAAACGAAGCUUUCUCCAGUGAAGUGGUGGUCCUUGUAUGGAGGUCAAUGCCCUGAGUUGCAAAGUUUUGCUAUGAGAAUAUUAAGUCAGACGUGUACUGGUGCCUCAAGAUUUGGUCUGAAAAGGAGUCUAUCUGAGCAACUUCAUAUGAAUGGAAGGAACCCUGUAGAGCAGAAAUUAUUGACUGACCUUACAUUUGUUCAUCAUAAUCUUCAGUUGCAAAAUGCUGUAUCUAUUACAAACACAGAUUACAAAGAUAUAUUUCUUGAAGAGAUGGAUCCAAUGAAUGAAUGGGUUCGCGGAGGGGACGUUGAAAGAGUAACCAGCUUAACUAAAUGGUGAUUAAAUUAAGUGUUUCUGAUACGCGGUUUGAAUUUGAUAUCCUUUGGACUGGUCUGGAUUAGGAACUGCAGUCUGCUGGUUGUUCUGGGAAGCUUGAUGAUCUGUGAUUAGGUGCAAAUCAAAAUCCUCUUCUAGCUUUUCCCCUUGCAUUGAAGCUGCAGAAGCCAUAUAACGGAAUGUAACAUGUCAGAAGUUCUUUUUGCGGGAGACUGCGAAGGAGAUCAGUUUUGUUGCUUUUUACUCGGCCUCAGUUUGUGGAGUCACAUCCCUCACGCCCUCACGGGUCUCUUCUUCACUGUUGUAACAUGUUUAAAACUCAAAACACCAUCUGUUGUAGAUUUAUCUAACAGUCCUAACUAUUUUGGCUGAUGGAUUUGCUCUGUUUGCUAGAACAGGCAUCAAGUUCUAUAUAUGUGUUCAAUGUCUGCUGAUCCAACGAGAGCUCUUGGUCAUAGUUACAUGGAUUGCCAAAGUCAAAAUAAGCUAUUACAUUAUAAAAACUUGAAAUAUU
This is an RNA transcript of Papaver somniferum (opium poppy), 2851 nucleotides long. RefSeq lists it as uncharacterized. The record is from RefSeq and is a predicted model, not a curated record. The transcript is spliced from 5 exons. Lineage: Eukaryota; Viridiplantae; Streptophyta; Magnoliopsida; Ranunculales; Papaveraceae.